RNAcentral lists this antisense RNA (75 nucleotides) under Streptomyces sp. AmelKG-D3. Its description in RNAcentral is "ASpks TB sRNA". It matches the Rfam family "ASpks TB sRNA". Lineage: Bacteria; Bacillati; Actinomycetota; Actinomycetes; Kitasatosporales; Streptomycetaceae. The record is from RNAcentral.
CUUCAGCGAGCCGAGCAGCAGCGGUCGGCCGUCCGCGCGGUCCUGCCCGUAGGUGGCCAGCAGGGCCUGGGCCUC